ACCUUUACUCCAAGUCUUGAUCACCGGUCCGAUUCGAAAUAAAUCCUCAGCAACAAAUUCUGGUGACUCAGGAAAGGAUGUAAUGGAAAUUAUACCCUUGGACAAUGGUUCCAAAAUACCAA
RNAcentral lists this long non-coding RNA (122 nucleotides) under Onthophagus taurus. RNAcentral describes it as "uncharacterized LOC111421197". Lineage: Eukaryota; Metazoa; Arthropoda; Insecta; Coleoptera; Scarabaeidae. The record is from RNAcentral.